GCUGCUAUAGCUCAGCAGGUAGAGCGCAUCCUUGGUAAGGAUGAGGUCAGCAGUCCGAAUCUGCUUAGCAGCUCCA
This 76-nucleotide transfer RNA is filed under the name Clostridiales bacterium. RNAcentral describes it as "tRNA-Thr". It matches the Rfam family "tRNA". Rfam says of the family: Transfer RNA (tRNA) molecules are approximately 80 nucleotides in length. Their secondary structure includes four short double-helical elements and three loops (D, anti-codon, and T loops). The record is from RNAcentral. RNAcentral also lists the same sequence under 2 other names. Lineage: Bacteria; Bacillati; Bacillota; Clostridia; Eubacteriales.